This 424-nucleotide ribosomal RNA is filed under the name Centipeda noxia. RNAcentral's name for it is "bacterial SSU rRNA". It matches the Rfam family "Bacterial small subunit ribosomal RNA", at positions 52 to 458 of the family's 1533-position model. Lineage: Bacteria; Bacillati; Bacillota; Negativicutes; Selenomonadales; Selenomonadaceae. The record is from RNAcentral.
CACAUGCAAGUGAACGGAGGAAUGAAAGCUUGCUUUUUAUAAGCUUAGUGGCAAACGGGUGAGUAACACGUAGGCAACCUCCGACAGGAUGGGGACAACAUUCCGAAAGGAAUGCUAAUACCGAAUGAAGCGGAGGAGAGGCAUCUCUCCUGCGUGAAAGAUGGCCUCAUAUAUAAGCUAUCACUUGUUGAUGGGCCUGCGUCUGAUUAGCUGGUAGGUGAGGUAACGGCUCACCUAGGCGACGAUCAGUAGCCGGUCUGAGAGGAUGAACGGCCACAUUGGGACUGAGACACGGCCCAGACUCCUACGGGAGGCAGCAGUGGGGAAUCUUCCGCAAUGGGCGCAAGCCUGACGGAGCAACGCCGCGUGAGUGAAGAAGGUCUUCGGAUCGUAAAGCUCUGUUGAUGGGGACGAACGUGCCUAA